UUAAAAGUACACACAUUAAAGUUUAAUGAAUGAAAAGUGGAGGAGUAAACAUUUUGUCAGUGGCAAUAGAUACGAUAGACACUACAUACAUUCAGCAUCACUGGGACUUCCAGUUAAAUCCCACCAUCACACCUGCGAUGGAACAUAACUAAAGCAACCGAAGUACCACAUCUAUAGGAAAUCGUUUUUGUGAUUAUUUUUGUUGUUGUUGCACAAGUUCAAUACAACAGAGACUGUCUUUCACAGUGAAAUGAUACUGAGUACAGUUCUCUGUCCAUGUAUUUAAGGGUUUCACACUAGACCAAAAGGAUCGGGCUGAAUUGCAACGAUCCGUAUCCAUAUUUGUGAAAGUCCUUUUUCUGAGAACUGUGAUGAACUGAUGUUGAAACCUUAGGAGGGAUAGAGCUAAAGGAUGAGAUGACACUUCAUCAAUAUCAUACAAUGUGGACACCUUAGGAAAACCUCAGGGGUAUACAAGACUAAGGGCUCUAUUCAAUCAGAUCUGCUUUAGCUGACAUCCGAAGAACGGUUGUUUUGGUGGUGUCGGAGGUGGAAUUGCGUUAGAGCUGUCAAAUCCACAAGCAGCUCCUGGCGUUAUACCUAAAGUGGACAUUGUCAUAGAGUACCACAGUAUGAGUCUUAAUACCCAUAAAACCUAGCGGUCAAACAAGGAAGUGGUUCCAAUCAUUUUCCCACCAUUCAUUUUUCCCAUAGGGGAGUUUAGAAACACUUCAAAUAAGGGCUGUGUUUUGUGUAAACUUUCCCUGAACAUCUCUGUAGGACAUGGUGACUUUUAUCAAUAUAUUCAGCUGUAUUUACCCCCCCCCCCCAAAAAAAAUGAACCACUAAUUAGCUGCUAAUGUGGCUAUCAUAAGGAACUACAAAUGCCAUGAUCUGGAUGAGACUGCCAAGUCGAGGCAAAGGUAAGGAUCUCUGGAUUUACUGUCUAAUGUUAGCUAAAUUUAGUAAUUAAUGAAUGGGCUACAUUUCUUUAAAAUUAGAAUUCUGUGAACUGUCUUGUGCAAGUUUUAAAUUGACACAAUGCCUGUUAGUAAAGGUGUCAGCCAGAGAUUACGUGCAGGAGCUUGCAGGGAUUCGUAGUCUUGCAUGAUGUCUACUUUGAUGCUAAUUUGCAUUUUGAUCUUGAGAGUAAAUAGACUAAUAUAUUGAUAAAAGUCACCUUGUCCUAGAGAGAUGAACAUGGUUAUCAAAAUGUCCCGCCAUGGUACUGUAUGCCUACACCAAACACAGCCCUUAUUUUAAGUGCUUUGAAAAUUCCCUAUGCGAAAAACGAUUGGAACCAUUUCCCUGUUUGACCACUAGGUUUUAUGGGUAUUAUGACACCUCCACUGUAGGGCUCUAUUGGCUGCACGGAGUCGCAUUAAGAGAAAUCCCAUGCAGCCUUGUUUACAAGUUUGAACAUUGGAAUGUGAUAUGUAAUCUACACCUCAAUUAGGCUGAGAGAAAUUCUAAUUUAGUUGAAUGAUUUUCAAUUAUUUCUAUAAAGCCUACACUUUCUCGUUCUGAACUUCUAACAUGAGUGGGACGGGUGUGGCUUCAUGACAAUGCUCCAACCCAGUUACACCUCCGACACCAUCAGCUAUGCCGGUUUCGGCUAUCGCCGGUGAGCACUUGAUCUGAUUGAAUCUAGACCAAGGUUAACAUGGUGGCAAACAUGGAGUCCACUGUAACAGGAUGCUCUGGGUAGAAGUUGCUCUUAAGCAGAUCUAGGAUCAGCCUUCCAAUCCCAAAGUUUGACCGUAAUCCCCCCCAAAUCUCAGUCAGUGUAUAGGUUCAACUUCAUCCUACUCCACAGUACUGUAGGUCUCCAUCCUGCUCCACAGUCCUGUAGGUCUCCAUCCUGCUCCACAGUCCUGUAAGUCUCUAUCCUGCUCCACAGUACUGUCGGUCUCCAUCCUGCUCCACAGUCCUGUAAGUCUCUAUCCUGCUUCACCGCCCUGUAGGUCUCCAUCCUGCUCCACAGUCCUGUAGGUCUCCAUCCUGCUCCACAGUCCUGUAGGUCUCCAUCCUGCUCCACAGUCCUGUAGGUCUCCAUCCUGCUCCACAGUCCUGUAGGUCUCCAUCCUGCUCCACAGUACUGUAG
RNAcentral lists this long non-coding RNA (2104 nucleotides) under Salmo salar (Atlantic salmon). RNAcentral describes it as "lncRNA (ENSSSAG00000086251.1)". Lineage: Eukaryota; Metazoa; Chordata; Actinopteri; Salmoniformes; Salmonidae. The record is from RNAcentral.